GCGGGGCCCGAGCACUGAGGGAAGCUGUACCUCCUUGCAAAGGAC
This 45-nucleotide long non-coding RNA is filed under the name dengue virus type 3. RNAcentral's name for it is "Dengue virus type 3 partial sfRNA4". The record is from RNAcentral. Lineage: Riboviria; Orthornavirae; Kitrinoviricota; Flasuviricetes; Amarillovirales; Flaviviridae.